This 253-nucleotide ribosomal RNA is filed under the name uncultured bacterium. RNAcentral describes it as "partial 16S ribosomal RNA". It matches the Rfam family "Bacterial small subunit ribosomal RNA", at positions 524 to 776 of the family's 1533-position model. The record is from RNAcentral.
UACGAGGGGAGCUAGCGUUGUUCGGAAUUACUGGGCGUAAAGGGCGUGUAGGCGGUACCAUAAGUCAGAUGUGAAAGCCCUGGGCUUAACCUAGGAGGUGCAUUUGAUACUGUGGAACUAGAGAUCGGGAGAGGAAAGCGGAAUUACGAGUGUAGAGGUGAAAUUCGUAGAUAUUCGUAAGAACACCAGUGGCGAAGGCGGCUUUCUGGCCCGAUACUGACGCUAAGGCGCGAAAGCGUGGGGAGCAAACAGG